GUCGGACUUUAUUUACAGAAACAAGAGGAGGUGGGAGUGUGCACAACCCCCCUCCAUGCACUGGGAGGCAAUGCGGAAGACCCAGGUGCCCUCACAGAGGUGUGAGCCAGGACGUGAGGACAGACCGUGGUGCACUGUGGGCACAUUUGUGAGUUUCCUAAGCAUGAAAUGGAGUACCCUCGGGUCCCAUUUCCAGCCCACGGCAUUGAUUAUGGCAGAGACUGCUUUCCUGAAGCAUGUGCCGUGUUGGGUAACGUAUGCCCAGGCCUGCCAAAUACAGUUGUAUAAGUUGUGCACUGCCCUAUGCCAGAGCAUCUUUCAUACAGACUUUGAUGUGAAUCAUGCUCCCUGGAGUUAUACAGUCUAUCAGCCCUGCCUGCGUAGUGCCUGGCAUUGUUCUAAAUGCUGUAAACAGGGCCAAUUCCUGCUCUCGUGGAGCUUAUAUCACAGUAGAGAAGGGGACUAAUAAAGACAAUAGGUAAGUUCCCAAUAAAUAAAAUAGGUCUAUGUAAUAGUUCCUAGGA
This 524-nucleotide long non-coding RNA is filed under the name Vulpes vulpes (red fox). Its description in RNAcentral is "lncRNA (ENSVVUG00000001951.1)". The record is from RNAcentral. Lineage: Eukaryota; Metazoa; Chordata; Mammalia; Carnivora; Canidae.